AGGUGCGAUCAUACCAACACUAAUGCACCGGAUCCCAUCAGAACUCCACAGUUAAGCGUGCUUCUUGAAUAAUGCUUAAAGUAAUAAAAUUAUUAAGCAAUUC
Molecule: non-coding RNA, 103 nt
Organism: Vigna angularis (adzuki bean)
Lineage: Eukaryota; Viridiplantae; Streptophyta; Magnoliopsida; Fabales; Fabaceae
Source: Rfam